This is a long non-coding RNA of Salvelinus sp. IW2-2015, 1933 nucleotides long. RefSeq lists it as uncharacterized. Lineage: Eukaryota; Metazoa; Chordata; Actinopteri; Salmoniformes; Salmonidae. The record is from RefSeq and is a predicted model, not a curated record.
AUUCCAAAGGGUUCACAUGCUUUUUCUUACCACUGUAUUUCAGUUCAACAAAGGCUUUCUGCAGGGCAAAAAAAGGCAGAUUGAAGCUCUGACAGAGGCUGGUCAGCUGUGGGGCAAUAGCAAACACAACAGUGUCAUCUUCAUACAGGUGAAAGUUUUUUUUACAGAUAAACCAAUAUUGUUCAUGUAAAUAGUGUAAAGAACCAGACCAAAAAUCGAUCCUUUGUUAUGUCCAGAAAACAUGAUUAAACACCAUCAUUAAAUACACGCUGUUGUCACGACUGUCCUUGUGUGAUCCAAAUGGGCAGAUCAGGUUUGUAAUUAAUAAACUUCCACCAGACCCUCUCUCACCCGCAGAGUGGAGGAGGGAACUGGUGUGGGUGGGUUUUGACACCUCACGCCCUGUCGUAAAUUAAGGUAGAAGAAGACUCUCUUCCUCCCUCUUUAAAUGCGCAUAGGAAUGUAUCUUUGUUCCACAGACAGUUUUCCCGACGAAACUCUAACACGUUCAAAAGCGAAUACUGGAUCAAUACUUCUAACAUAAGAAUGUGGGGAAGGGUCAGAGAUGAUCUAUAUAAAACUAAUGUCAUAUUGGUUUUUAUUUUGUGAUGUCAUUUUGUGAUGUCCUUCUGCUCCUUAACAACAUCACCGAGAUCAGAGCAGAUGCGUACAACAUUUUUAAACUCUUCCAGAAACCCUUCUCAGCCCGUGUGCAACAUGGGAGUGUGGCAGGUCAGGUGGUAUUAAGCUAAGGAAUUUGAAAAUGUGAACAGAAAGGGAAUUUUACUGCAAAUGAUCUAUGUAGAUAAAUCUGGUAAAUAAAUAGAUGUGCGCAAUGUGUAGUGGUUAAUGUUAUUGUCUAAUCAGUGCCCAUCUAUGUCACUAUGCACGUUUCUGUAUUUGCUCCUGUGCUUGUAUGUCCCUGUAACCAUAUUAUUGUAUGCCUGUGUAUGUUUCAGACAGCGUUUGAGGUUCUGGGCUUUGUCUCAGUCAUGUCUAACUGCUGGCUGCUGCCUCCUCGGGUUCGGCUGUUCUGUCUGGAGGGAUGGAUCAGCGGCAAGAACAUCAUACUCUUCACCAUCCUGGUCAAGAAACUUUGAAGGCUGUGGAACCCCCGAGGGUGUUUGUGUUUCCCUUCCAGUGUUGGUCUGGAGACUCUGGACCUGGGGGCUCAUUAGAACCAGCUGCCACGACGAAGAUGGUGAUGAUCCACAGACAAGUCUGGGAGCUGAGCCAUGAGAACCUGCUCUCCGCCCCAAGAAACUCUGUCAGUAUCUCCCUCUGGAGCACUGCUUCAGUCAUAACUAGAGUGGUCUCUCAUGUCAUGGGAGAUACUAGAGAGAAGGCCAGGGACUAAAGGGAAACACAAAGAAGAAGAGCUAAGUUCAUUGGGUUAAUACAGCAUUAGCAUACUUUUUUUUUCUUCAUCUUGCUUAUCAUUUUGUAAAAUGUUCCCACAGUGUGUUCCAUGUAAUUUCACAUUAUCAGUGUUACAUUGUACGCUUAACUUAUAAUAGGCACAUCACAAAUACAACGAGAGUACUUGAUAUCACAUAAUAUAUCUGUGCACUUCUACUUGAAGUUUACUAUAUUUAAAACAUUUGGAUUGAUGAGCUUGUUGUUGGAAUACAUGUAGGCCUAUCUAUUACAUAUGUAUUAUCAGUAUCUUUUAAAAAUGAAGAUUUCAGAACUGAUGCAGUGUUGGAUGAAUGUAGAUAGCAAGGCUGAUGGUUGUACUUGAUUUAGUAUAGUUUACUUUGCCAUCAAAAUCAUUUGUACAGUAUGCUCUAGUCAAAAUGUACUGAAAUUCACUUGGACUUUCAUCUGACCUGCUAAAAAAAGACAAUGUUCCAUGACCGUUUCAGAGGAGUAAUAAUACAUUGCUUUAUCCUUCCUAUAGUACAUAUACCCCAUUAAAUCACAUCACACACCA